UAGGGAAUCUUCGGCAAUGGGGGGAACCCUGACCGAGCAACGCCGCGUGAGUGAAGAAGGUUUUCGGAUCGUAAAGCUCUGUUGUAAGAGAAGAACGAGUGUGAGAGUGGAAAGUUCACACUGUGACGGUAUCUUACCAGAAAGGGACGGCUAACUACGUGCCAGCAGCCGCGGUAAUACGUAGGUCCCGAGCGUUAUCCGGAUUUAUUGGGCGUAAAGCGAGCGCAGGCGGUUAGAUAAGUCUGAAGUUAAAGGCUGUGGCUUAACCAUAGUACGCUUUGGAAACUGUUUAACUUGAGUGCAGAAGGGGAGAGUGGAAUUCCAUGUGUAGCGGUGAAAUGCGUAGAUAUAUGGAGGAACACCGGUGGCGAAAGCGGCUCUCUGGUCUGUAACUGACGCUGAGGCUCGAAAGCGUGGGGAGCAAACAGGAUUAGAUACCCUGGUAGUCCACGCCGUAAACGAUGAGUGCUAGGUGUUGGGUCCUUUCCGGGACUCAGUGCCGCAGCUAACGCAUUAAGCACUCCGCCUGGGGAGUACGACCGCAAGGUUG
Molecule: ribosomal RNA, 550 nt
Filed under: uncultured bacterium
Lineage: Bacteria
Description: bacterial SSU rRNA
Rfam family: Bacterial small subunit ribosomal RNA
Source: RNAcentral